UUUUUUUCCUCAGUAAGAACAUUGCAGAUGCUUGUUAAUAAUUUGUGGCAGAGUUUACAGACAAGUUUACAAGUCAUCAUGUGUGCAAUCGGCUGUGUGCUUAUUACAUCGUUUGCUUUCACUCCUGCUGGCUAAAAUGGGAAAUUAACAGAGCAUCCUUUCUCAAGGCUUAAAAAGAUCCAGAAGAUUAAAAAUAGCCUGAGGCUUAAAAACUUCUUCACCUGGUGGUCUCCGACUGACUGAAACACAGAACAGGGACACCUGAGAGAUCGCAUUUCUGAGGUGUGCUGAACACCACUGAAGCUCAUUGACUCCUUGAAUCAGCACCUCACGCAAACGCACCUCAAAAGAUCAAAAAGCACCAGUGAUCUUUCCGAGAGGAUCUGCAGAUGGCUGCCAUUUAUCUAGACAGAUGAACUCAUUUACAGGAAAAGGAGAGGCAGAGACACACAGACUGACAUUUCUACCGUGUGGUUUGAAGCUGCAGUGUAAAGCCCAGGGUCUCUACUGUCCUUAGAAUGCUCAUCUU
Long non-coding RNA from Corvus hawaiiensis (hawaiian crow), 529 nucleotides. RefSeq lists it as uncharacterized. The record is from RefSeq and is a predicted model, not a curated record. NCBI's taxonomy places the organism in Eukaryota, Metazoa, Chordata, Aves, Passeriformes, Corvidae. The transcript has 3 exons.